UUUCCGUAGGUGAACCUGCGGAGGGAUCAUUACAGAGUUCAUGCCCUACCGGGUAGAUCUCCCACCCUAUGUUAUUAUUACUUUGUUGCUUUGGCGGGCCGUUAGGCUCCGGCCCGACUACCGGCCCCGGCUGGUCAGCGCCCGCCAGAGGACCCAAAACCCUGAAUAUUAGUGUCGUCUGAGUACUAUAUAAUAGUUAAAACUUUCAACAACGGAUCUCUUGGUUCUG
RNAcentral lists this unclassified non-coding RNA (229 nucleotides) under plant metagenome. RNAcentral describes it as "partial contains small subunit ribosomal RNA, internal transcribed spacer 1, and 5.8S ribosomal RNA". The record is from RNAcentral.